Molecule: transfer RNA, 72 nt
Filed under: Enterobius vermicularis (human pinworm)
Lineage: Eukaryota; Metazoa; Nematoda; Chromadorea; Rhabditida; Oxyuridae
Rfam family: tRNA
About the family: Transfer RNA (tRNA) molecules are approximately 80 nucleotides in length. Their secondary structure includes four short double-helical elements and three loops (D, anti-codon, and T loops).
Source: Rfam by way of RNAcentral
GGCUCUGUGGCGUAGCGGUUAGCACUCAAGACCUUGAGUCCUGCGACAGAAGUUCAAAUGUUUUCAGAACCC